AUUGAACGCUGGCGGCAGGCCUAACACAUGCAAGUCGAGCGGAUGAAGGGAGCUUGCUCCUGGAUUCAGCGGCGGACGGGUGAGUAAUGCCUAGGAAUCUGCCUGGUAGUGGGGGAUAACGUCCAGAAACGGGCGCUAAUACCGCAUACGUCCUGAGGGAGAAAGUGGGGGAUCUUCGGACCUCACGCUAUCAGAUGAGCCUAGGUCGGAUUAGCUAGUUGGUGGGGUAAAGGCCUACCAAGGCGACGAUCCGUAACUGGUCUGAGAGGAUGAUCAGUCACACUGGAACUGAGACACGGUCCAGACUCCUACGGGAGGCAGCAGUGGGGAAUAUUGGACAAUGGGCGAAAGCCUGAUCCAGCCAUGCCGCGUGUGUGAAGAAGGUCUUCGGAUUGUAAAGCACUUUAAGUUGGGAGGAAGGGCAGUAAGUUAGUACCUUGCUGUUUUGACGUUACCAACAGAAUAAGCACCGGCUAACUUCGUG
This 484-nucleotide ribosomal RNA is filed under the name uncultured bacterium. RNAcentral describes it as "partial 16S ribosomal RNA". It matches the Rfam family "Bacterial small subunit ribosomal RNA", at positions 30 to 507 of the family's 1533-position model. The record is from RNAcentral.